AACGAACGCUGGCGGCAGGCCUAACACAUGCAAGUCGAACGCUCCGCAAGGGGAGUGGCGCACGGGUGAGUAACACGUGGGAACCUACCUUCUGGUACGGAACAACCAAGGGAAACUCUGGCUGAUACCGUAUACGACCUCCGGGUGAAAGAUUGAUCGCCGGAAGAGGGGCCCGCGUCCGAUUAGGUAGUUGGUGAGGUAACGGCUCACCAAGCCUGCGAUCGGUAGCUGGUCUGAGAGGANGACCAGCCACACUGGGACUGAGACACGGCCCAGACUCCUACGGGAGGGCAGCAGUGGGGAAUAUUGGACAAUGGGCGCAAGCCUGAUCCAGCCAUGCCGCGUGAGUGAUGAAGGCCUUCGGUUG
This 367-nucleotide ribosomal RNA is filed under the name uncultured bacterium. RNAcentral describes it as "bacterial SSU rRNA". It matches the Rfam family "Bacterial small subunit ribosomal RNA", at positions 29 to 425 of the family's 1533-position model. The record is from RNAcentral.